GUUAUGCUUGAUUAUUAUUGCUGUACUUCGGUGUUUGCGGUGGGUCAGGCGAAGACGGCAACCUUGCGCGGAUGUACUUGAGAAAGUCGGCUUUUGGGAAGUGGAUCAGGGAAAUUAUCGUCUACUCCGGAUUUACAGACGCCGGAAACAGCGACGGACCCUGAGGUUCAUCACACUGCUGAGCCGAGUAAUCACUGGAAACCGUGUGGAACGAAGGGUUUGGAUGAGAGAGCGGAGCGAACACUGGUGGCUUUAUAUAGUACGAGAGACAUUCAACCCUCAGCAAUGGAUCGAAAACUUCAGAAUGAGCUACAGAACCUUCAAAUGGCUUUGUGAGUCGCUCAGGCCUCAUGUCUCCAAGGCAGAAACGAAGAUGCGACAGCCUAUUCCUGUGGAGCAGAAAGUUGGUGCUGUCUUGUGGUUUCUUGGAACCACAUCAGAUUAUCGGACCAUUGCUCACCUUUUCGGAAUAUCCAGAGCCUCACUGUGCAUGUUUGUCAAGGAUGUUUGUGAAGCAAUAUUUUUUCAUCCGACACCACAGUUCAUAAAGCCACCCACUGAUAUAGAGGCUAGAAAUAUUAUGGAGUCAUUUAAAGAAAAAUGGGGAUAUCCGACUUGCAUAGGUGCUUUUGAUGGCUCACACAUACCCAUUGUCGCCCCCAAGGAGA
Long non-coding RNA from Cyprinodon tularosa, 668 nucleotides. RefSeq lists it as uncharacterized. NCBI's taxonomy places the organism in Eukaryota, Metazoa, Chordata, Actinopteri, Cyprinodontiformes, Cyprinodontidae. The transcript is spliced from 3 exons. The record is from RefSeq and is a predicted model, not a curated record.